GAUGAAGAACGUAGUGAAAUGCGAUACGUAAUGUGAAUUGCAGAAUUCAGUGAAUCAUCGAGUCUUUGAACGCACAUUGCGCCCCCUGGUAUUCCGGGGGGCAUGCCUGUCCGAGCGUCAUUGCUGCCCUCAAGCACGGCUUGUGUGUUGGGCCUCCGUCCUCCUCCCGGGGGACGGGCCCGAAAGGCAGCGGCGGCACCGCGUCCGGUCCUCGAGCGUAUGGGGCUUCGUCACCCGCUCUUGUAGGCCCGGCCGGCGCUUGCCGACACAUCAAUCUUUUUUCCAGGUUGACCUCGGAUCAGGUAGGGAUACCCGCUGAACUUAAGCAUAUCAAUAACGGAGGA
RNAcentral lists this unclassified non-coding RNA (344 nucleotides) under soil metagenome. RNAcentral describes it as "partial contains 5.8S ribosomal RNA, internal transcribed spacer 2, and large subunit ribosomal RNA". The stretch from base 1 to 120 matches the Rfam family "5.8S ribosomal RNA", at positions 35 to 154 of the family's 154-position model. The record is from RNAcentral.